GAAAUGCGAUAAUUAAUGUGAAUUGCAGAAUUCAGUGAAUCAUCUAGUCUUUGAACGCACAUUGCGCCCCCUGGUAUUCCGGGGGCAUGCCUGUCCGAGCGUCAUUGCUGCCCUCAAGCACGGCUUGUGUGUUGGGCUUCCGUCCCUGGCAACGGGGACGGGCCCAAAAGGCAGUGGCGGCACCAUGUCUGGUCCUCGAGCGUAUGGGGCUUUGUCACCCGCUCCCGUAGGUCCAGCUGGCAGCUAGCCUCGCAACCAAUCUUUUUAACCAGGUUGACCUCGGAUCAGGUAGGGAUACCCGCUGAACUUAAGC
RNAcentral lists this unclassified non-coding RNA (313 nucleotides) under plant metagenome. RNAcentral describes it as "partial contains 5.8S ribosomal RNA, internal transcribed spacer 2, and large subunit ribosomal RNA". The stretch from base 1 to 104 matches the Rfam family "5.8S ribosomal RNA", at positions 50 to 154 of the family's 154-position model. The record is from RNAcentral.